Molecule: long non-coding RNA, 614 nt
Organism: Solanum tuberosum (potato)
Lineage: Eukaryota; Viridiplantae; Streptophyta; Magnoliopsida; Solanales; Solanaceae
Exons: 4
Source: RefSeq, a predicted model, not a curated record
UACUGCAAAGAGACUAUUCUGAGGGAGGUUACAAUUUGCAUAUACUCUUCCCUCAAGCGCUGCCCAGGUUUUGUGCGAUUCCGGUUAAGACAAUGAAGUUUUUGCUUGUUUAGGUGAGAUGGGGAAGAAAAGGGGUUUCCCCAAUUGGGUUCCUAAUGGGUUGACAUGUUCUGCAGGUAUUUUUGAAAAGAGCUCCUGGGUUUAUAUUUAAUUUUGAAAAGGUACUUGGUGAAAAUUCUAGGAGUAACAAAGUUCUAUUGGAGAUGAUUAGGCUUGGACAUUUGAAGCAAUACCUUACCUCAGGAAGCUUUUCAAGGAUUACUCGGAAGAAAUUUCUCAACAAAGGAUUCUUAGGUGGUUGUCUACCAAGAACAAUCCAAAAAUAAAUUUUGUUGAUCUCUUCAGUCCUCCUCAUGAUAUAAUUGUACAUCCCUGGCUUGUCCCCACAAAGCAAAAGUUGCAAAUGUCAUUCUUUUUAACUCUAGAAAUCAUUGACACAAAAUAAACCCUACAGUGGAUAUGAUAAAAAAAAGAAUUGGCUGGAGCAAUAACCAUCAAAAGGGAAGCACUUAUUGUUCCUGGUGAUGCUGAUGAUGGUGCAAUAAAUGUUGGUG